GCCUUCGUGGUGUAAUGGUAGCACACUCGACGCGCAUUCGAGAAGUCCAGGUUCGAGUCCCCGGGAGGGCA
Stegodyphus mimosarum is the source of this 71-nucleotide non-coding RNA. The record is from Rfam. NCBI's taxonomy places the organism in Eukaryota, Metazoa, Arthropoda, Arachnida, Araneae, Eresidae.